RNAcentral lists this microRNA precursor (105 nucleotides) under Marmota monax (woodchuck). The record is from RNAcentral. Lineage: Eukaryota; Metazoa; Chordata; Mammalia; Rodentia; Sciuridae.
GUACAAAUCACCUGGAAUCUUUGUGAAAAGGUGGAUUCUGAUUCAAUAGGUCUGCAGUAAGGUCCACGAUUCUAUAUUUCUUUCCAGCUCCCAGGUAAUUCCUAU